AAUAAAUAGGCCAUGGUAGUGAGGUAAUUACAAUUUAGCAAAUUAACACUGGAGUGAUAGAUGAGCAGAUGAUGAUGUGCAAGUACAAAUACUGGUGUGCAAAAGAGCAGAAAGUAAAUAAAAACAAUAUGGGGAUGAGGUAGGUAGAUUGGGUGGGCUAUUUACAGAUGGCCUAUGUACAGCUGCAGCGAUCGGUUAGCUGCUCAGAUAGCUGAUGUUUAAAGUUACAUAGAGAUUCAUCCCCUUACUAUAAUAGCUGUGUUGCAAUAUUGAUACAACUUGAUUUUCUGCAAAGUCCUCCAAGUAAAGCACAGGUCCAUGAUAUCAGAUGUCUUUCAUAAAGGCACAGAAGGGAUUUGAACCCAUGAUCUUCGGUUUACAAGACCAACACCUUACCACUUGGCCACCAUG
RNAcentral lists this transfer RNA (411 nucleotides) under Salmo salar (Atlantic salmon). Its description in RNAcentral is "lncRNA (ENSSSAG00000089216.1)". Lineage: Eukaryota; Metazoa; Chordata; Actinopteri; Salmoniformes; Salmonidae. The record is from RNAcentral.